This 76-nucleotide transfer RNA is filed under the name Candidatus Omnitrophota bacterium. RNAcentral's name for it is "Candidatus Omnitrophica bacterium tRNA-Ala". It matches the Rfam family "tRNA". Rfam says of the family: Transfer RNA (tRNA) molecules are approximately 80 nucleotides in length. The record is from RNAcentral. Lineage: Bacteria; Pseudomonadati; Candidatus Omnitrophota.
GGGCCUGUAGCUCAUUUGGUAGAGCAUCUGCAUGGCAUGCAGGGGGUAAGGAGUUCAACUCUCCUCAGGUCCACCA